UAGUAUAUAUAACAGAUGUGCCGAGGC
This 27-nucleotide small RNA is filed under the name Bombyx mori (domestic silkworm). RNAcentral's name for it is "ovarian small RNA-22942". Lineage: Eukaryota; Metazoa; Arthropoda; Insecta; Lepidoptera; Bombycidae. The record is from RNAcentral.